UUUGGAAUCCAUUGCCACAGAUGAUUUUGAGAGCAGAUCCUUUCCUGAGUAACUGCAGCAUAAGUAUGUUCACAUGAAGUAACAUUUUGAUAACACAAACGGAAGCUCAUCAAAAU
Molecule: long non-coding RNA, 116 nt
Organism: Struthio camelus australis
Lineage: Eukaryota; Metazoa; Chordata; Aves; Struthioniformes; Struthionidae
Source: RefSeq, a predicted model, not a curated record